ACAGGGGUAAAACGAUAAUUUUAAAAUUUUUUCAAAAUUAUAAUUUUAUAGUAAAAAUUAUUAAUUAAUCAAAUUAAUUAACAUGUAUUAACCCUACACAAGGAUCUAAAUAUGAUAUAUAUAGCAUGUAUUUAAAUUUAAAAUUUAAACUUCUACAGUAAAUAUUUUACUGUUAUGUAUUCAGAACAUAUUACCUUAGUGCAGAUAGU
RNAcentral lists this long non-coding RNA (209 nucleotides) under Elaeis guineensis (African oil palm). RNAcentral's name for it is "long non-coding RNA (EGUI_LNC049506)". The record is from RNAcentral. Lineage: Eukaryota; Viridiplantae; Streptophyta; Magnoliopsida; Arecales; Arecaceae.